UACAGACCCUCCCCGCCUGCUAGAGCGGCGCCUCUCCCUCGUGAUUUAUCAGCUCCGGUUAAUAAAGUAGCUUUAAAAAUUUAAAAUAAACUUUUCUGCUGCUUUCUACACUUGGAUCGGAUCUGGAUCCGACCAAGUCUCUACGAAAUCGGUCUAGUUGUCCUCAAUUCCAUUUGGAACGGGUCUCUAUAUUUAAAAAAAAAAAAAAAAUUAUGCGCAUCCCCAGGUACAUGUCGGAACAGGUCCAACUUUUUGGAACCGUGGCUGGUCUCAGACGAACCCGCAGGUGAAGAAGCCAGAUGUGGAGGUCCUGGGUUGGCGAUGGUCUAUUUGUGGUCUGCGUUGGUGAGGCCAGUUGGGCGUACUGCCCAAUUCUCUAAAACAAUGUUGGAGGCAUCUUAUGGUAGAGACAUUAACAUAAAAUUAUCUGGCAACAACUCUGGUGGACAUUACUGCAGUCAGUGUCAAUUGCAUGCUCCCUCAAAAUUUGAGACGUCUGUGGCAUUGUGUUGUGACAAAACUGCACAUUUUAGAGUGGCUUUUUAUUGUCCCAGCACAAGGUGCACCUGUGUAAUGAUCAUGCUGUUUAAUCAGCUUCUUGAUAUGCCAAAUCUGUCAGGUGGAUGGAUUAUCUUGGCAAAGGAGAAAUGCUCACUAAUAGGGAUGUAAACAAAUUUGUGAACAAAAUUUGAGAGAAAUAAGGUUUUGGCAUAUGGAAAAUGUAUAUGUGAACUUUUAUUUCAGCUCAUGAAACAUGGGACCAACACAUUACAUGUUGCGUUCAUAUUUUUGUUCAGUAUACAUUGUCAGUCAUAGGCUUCACUGGGAAAUGUGUUGUUGUUGUACUCACAAUCUGGCCAUACCCCAACCAAAAACCCUGGAUGAACAGAGAUAUUUGUACCAUGCUGAGAGCCCGUACUGCAGCAUUCAAUGUCAGCAGAACAAACUCUGAUGACUCGGUGAUGCGUGACAGAUACAAGGCAAGCAGGUACGAACUCCCCAAAUCCAUUAGGGAUGCAAAAAGACAAUACAGACACAAACUUGAAUUGACAGUCGACAACUCAAGACUUGCGAUGCAUGUGGCAAGGACUACAGACUAUUACGGACUACAAAGGCAAAUCCAGCUGUGUGGCCCACCAAAGUGUCCCUCCCAGAUGAUCUUAACAUAUUCUAUGCUUGCUUCGAAGCAGACAAUAUCGAACCAUCCAGGAAGACUCUCGCUGCUACGGACGACCAGGUGCUUUCGUUCUCCGAGGCUGAAGUGAGGGAAAACUCUUAAAAGAGUGAAUACUCACAAAGCUGCCAGCCCAGAUGGCAUCCCUGGCCGUGUCCUCAGUGUAUGCUGACCAGCUGAUGGGCUUCUUUUUUGACUUCUUAAACAUGUCACUGUCCCAGGCCAUAGUCCCCGCCUGCUUCAAGGAGACCACCAUCGUCCCAGUGUCCAAGAAAAACAAGAUGAUGUGUCCAAAUGACUAUCACCCCGUCAUACUCAUCCCAGUCAUCAUGAAGUGUCAAAAGAGGCUGGUCAUGGCCCACAUCAAGGCCAGCAUGCCAGGUACACUGGAUUUGCUUACCGCUAACAGAAACUUACUGCACAAUUGUAACAUUUGCCCCCCAAUCACCCUUUUCCCGAAACACUAUAAAUUCUGCCUUCCUGUAUUAUCUAUUCAACUGAGCCACUUACCUUAUGUUCGUAUUCUUAUUGUUUUUAUUUCUAAUUGUUGUUGCAUUGUCGAGAAGGAACACGCAAGUAAGCAUUUUUUUGGAUGGUGUAUACCAUGUGUAUCCCGUACAUAUGACUAGUAAAACUUUAAACAGAAACCUGCUCCCUCCUCUCUUCAAAACAUUCACACCUAUAUUAACUCACACUCCAAAUCUCAGAAGAGCAGUCAAACCCAACCCUUGACAGUUUAAAAUCCCAGGUCGAUGCAAGCAUUACCAUUUUUAUUGUCACCGUCAACAAGGUCAAUCACCAUCUUCUCUUUCUGCUCUGUCUCUCCAUCCAUCUCACAGCAGUCUCUGUAUCGCAACACAUGUUCUAUGGGGAUCACCAGUCUUUGUCUGUUUGGUACAAAUACAACAUGUAGCACCUCAGAGCCCAACUGCUAGAGCGGACAAGCAGUGUUCAACAUCAGUAGCAUCAAGCACAAGGGCUGCCUGGUCACACAUUUCUGCAACACCACAUCCACUUCUUCCAUAUUCCUGGGAGUCGGCUACAUCGUCUCAUAGACCUGCUCCAGCACCAAUCUGCAACGGGGUUGGCUCCGUACAACUACCUCUCACAGUGGCCCUUGGUGCAGCCCUGGUGGCCAUCUGGAGCACCUUAGCCUAGACAAACCAUUCACAAUAAGGAUACCUCCUCCAUAGGUUUCCAUGUGUUGUUAUAGUUCUUAAAUACAUAAAAUGUACUAAAACAAGUAAUAUUCUGAAAAAGACAGCAAGUUUUAUGCAGGCUAGUUUCACUAAGCUUUAGUUCUGCUUUAGUUCUGUGUAUUCCGGGUUUCCAAGCUGGUUACGGGUGCACCUCAGCCACGCUCAAGGUACUAAACGAUAUAACCGCCAUCGAUAAAAGACAGUACUAUGUCUUCAUCGACCUGGCCAAGGCUUUCGACUCUGUCAAUCACCGCAUUCGCAUCGGCAGACUCAACAGCAUUGGUUUCUCAAAUGACUGCCAACUACUUCUCAGACAGAGUUCUGUGUGUCAAAUCGGAGGGCCUGUUGUCUGGACCUUUUAAUUUUUUUAUUUUACCUUUAUUUAACUAGGCAAGUCAGUUAAGAACAAAUUCUUAUUUGGCAGUCUCUAUGGGGGUACCACAGGGUUCAAUUCUCGGGCCGACUCUUUUCGGUGUAUAUAUCAACAAUGUCGCUCUUGCUGCAGGUGAUUCCCUGAUCCACCUCUACGCAGUCGACAUUUUGUAUACAUCUGGCCCUUCUCUGGACACUGUGUUAACAAACCUCCAGAUGAGCUUCAAUGCCAUACAACACUCCUUCCGUGGCCUCCCAACUGCUCUAAAACGCUAGUAAAAGCAAAUGCUUGUUUUUCAACUAGCAUCACUACUCUGGACGGUUCUAACUUAGAAUAUGUGGACAACUACAAAUACCUAGGUGUCUGGAUAGACUGUAAACUCUCCUUCCAGACUCAUAUUAAACAUCUCCAAUCCAAAAUUAAAUCUAGAUCUAAAUCUAAAACUGACUAUCCUACCGAUCCUCGACGAUGUCAUUUUCAAAAUAGCUUCCAAUACUAUACUCAGCAAACUGGAUGCAGUCUAUCACAGUGUCAUCCGUUUUGUUACCAAAGCCCCAUAUACCACCCACCACUGCGACUUGUAUGCUCUAGUCGGCUGGCCCUCACUACAUAUUCGUCGCCAGACCCACUGGCUCCAGGUCAAUUAUAAGUCGAUGCUAGGUAAAGCUCCGCUUUAUUUCAGCUCACUGGUCACGAUAACAACACCCACCCAUUGCACACGCUCCAGCAGGUGUAUCUCACUGGUCAUCCCCAAAGCAAACACCUCCUUUGGCCACCUUUCCUUCCAGUUCUCUGCUGCCAAUGACUGGAACGAAUUGCAAAAAAAUAUAUAUAUUUUCUUUAAAUAAUAAAUAAAUAAAUAAAUAAACAUUUUUAAUAUAUAAAAAUGACAAUUUAAAAAAUGAAAAAAAUAGACAUAUUACCCUCACUAACUUUAAACAUCAGCUAACCGAUCGCUGCAGCUGUACAUAGCCUAUCUAACUACCUCAUUCCCAUAUUGUUUUUAUUUACUUUUCUGCUCUUUUGCACACCAGUAUUUCUACUUGCACAUCAUCAUCUGCUCAUCUAUCACUCCAGUGUUAAUUUUCUAAAUUGUAAUUACUUCGUUACAAUGGCCUAUUUAUUGCCUUACAUCCUCACUCCAUUUGCACACACUGUAUAUAGACUUUCUUUUUUUCUAUUGUGUUAUUGACUGUACGCUUGUUUAUUCUACGUGUAACUCUGUGUUGUUUGUGUCGCACUGCUUUGCUUUAUCUUUGCCAGGUCGCAGUUGUAAAUGAGAACUUGUUCUCAACUAGCUUACAUGGUUAAAUAAAGGUGAAAUAAAAUAAAAAUAGCUCAAAGUGACAACUCAAACUGGUUUUACCUCUAGGCUAAACAACAUCCUACUAUAGCAUCGUUAUGAACAGUUCAAAUCUAUGUCACUAUUUAUACUGGGAACACAUCAAUGACAAGCAUUUUUCAAUGGCAUACCAUCUUCUCAACCAUGUCACUAUUAAUUAUCAUAUCUAGUAAGUUAUCAUUUUCCCUAUUAGGCAUGUUGCACUCUGUACUCAUAAAGAUAACCUUAUGAUUAUUUAUUGUACAUAAAAUAAAUACAUGUACUCAAAAAUAUCUACUAUUAUAUGUGUGUGAAAUGAUUGAACAAAUACUAUAAUAAAGAUGUUAAAUUAUACCCUUACCAAAAAAUAGGCUUCUGGCAAACAGCUGUGGCAAACCUUUGACCAAUUUGCAGCAAGCUCAUAUUUUCACAUGUAAAUUUGCUUUUGGCAAACAGUUUCGGCAAAUUUGCAGCAACUUGUUAACUUCUUGCAAACAAGUCAGGGAAACGUGUGGCAAAUAUUCUACUGUUUGCUGCAAAUUGGUUGCAAACUCAGUAUGAAUAUUUCAAUUAGAUCAGGUUUUUAGUUACUGUGUGUUAACAUGGAAAUGUAUCUAAAUACACCAAAUCAUAUAUAAAACUUUAAAUGAACUUCUCAGAGAAAAAACUAAACAUACGAAAUGUAGUAAAUAUACCAAACAACUUGUAUUCAAUUUCUUAACAGAAAAUAAAUGAAAUCCUCAGCAUGGUAAUGAAGAAAAGAGCAAUGACUGGAUAUUAUCAGGAUUUUUUAAAAUGUCAAAUUAGUAUGUACAGUGGCAAGAAAAAGUAUGUGAACCCUUUGGAAUUACCUGGAUUUCUGUAUAAAUUGGUCAUCAAAUUUGAUCCGAUCUUCAUCUAAGUCACAGCAAUAGACAAACAGUGUGCUUACAAUAAUUUGUGUGUCAUAUUAGUUUAUUUCUCAUCUAUAUUGAAUACAUUUAAAAACAUUCACAAUCUAGAUUGGGAAAAGUUUGUAUUUGAACACCUAGGCUAAUGACUUCUCCAAAAAUGAAUUGGAGUCAGGAGUCAGCUAACCUGAAGUCCAAUCAAUGAGACGAGAUUAGAGAUGUUGGUUAGAGCUGCUUUGCCCUAUUAAAAAAACCUCAGAAAAUUUGAGUUUGCUAUUCACAAGAAGCAUCGCCUGAUGUGAACCAUGCCUCAAACAAAAAGAGAUCUCAGAAGACCUAAGAUUAAGAAUUGUUGACUUGCAUAAAGCUGGAAAGGAUUACAAAAGUAUCUUUAAAAACCUUGAUGUUCAUCAGUCCACGGUAAGACAAAUUGUCUAUAAAUGGAGAAUGUUCAGCACUGUUGCUACUCUCCCUAGGAGUGGCCAUCCUGCAAAGAUGACUGCAAGAGCACAGUGCAGAAUGCUCACUGAGGUUAAAACCUUAUAUGGCUGCGAUCCCCGUACAGGGAUCCCGAACAUCGGGGAAAUUUCAGUGACAAUUAAAAGUACAACGUCGUAACAUUAAACAUUCUUGAAAAUGCACGUGUCUUACAUCCUUCAAAAGAUUAGGAUCUUGGUAAUCAAACUACUUUUUCCGAUUUAAAAUAGCUAUUACAGAGAACAAAUAUCAUGCUUUGUUUGAGAAGAGCAUUCAACAACAAAAACAUUUUCUGCCAUGACAGUUUUUACACAUUCACAUCUGAAGGUAAAAUUAUGACUUACAUUCUGAUAUCUUGCUCUUAUGUCUCUUCCUGAGGGUUCCAGUGAUCAAAUGAAGUGCCGUUUUCUUUGAUAAAAUCAAUUUUUAUAGCCUAAAUCGAAAAACUUUUUGUAACCUGUUUGUGCCGUGAAUUCCAUCUCUAUCAAUUUUUUACAGAGCAUUCGACGUAAUUACACACGGUAAACAAUCGUUUAUCUAGUCAUGGUUGGUUUCAGUGCAUUCCUCUGGAUGUUUGCAACACAGCCAAUUGAUUUUUUUUGCGGUGAGUAUUGACCGAAGUGAACUGAUUUGAAGACAACGAGCAAUGACUACCUUGCGCACCAAUAAUUUUAGCGAAACUUCGUUGAUUGACUGUAUGCCCAAUGACCACUGAUCUUCUUGAAAUCUAGCUGGGUAGAUAGCCAAUGAGCCGAGGUAAACGCCAGUAUGUAAUGGUUUUGGGUUGGACCACCAUUCCUUGUUUGAAAAUGCACGCGUAAGGAACUCCAUUCUCGCCUUGACUAUCAGAGGAGUUGCUGUGAGGCUUGUUACGCACAGCAGUAUUUUGGAAAGUUGUAUUUUCAAUGAUUUCAUUGAAGACAUCAUGGCGAAUAAAUCAGGAAAAGCGAAGUCAAAGUCUAAGUAUACAGAUUUGCACCAGAUUAUAGAAUAGAAGAGAUUGAUUUGGAAAGUGAUCUGGAAAGUUUUUUGUUUCAGGAAUCUUUGAGUGUUAUGAUUCAAACAGGAGCUGAGGAGCUGUUUCUGCAAGGACAGGACGUACUUCUGGACGGUGAUAGCGACUCCGACUGGGAGCCCCCGGUGCCAAACUGCCCGCUCUAUCUCUGCCCCCUCUACUCCUGCCUCCAGUGGUGUUCAUAUGCCACAGUUCAUUACUGCAGGCAUAACUGUGUCUCAGGGCCAAAAGGGCACAGCAUGGAGGUGUCGUUGUGUUCUGUGUCACAUGACCUGCACCACUUGUUCAGUUUGCCUCUGCUUUACAUCAGAAAGAGACUGCUAUGGGACAUGGCACAGGCAGCAAAAUAUUGUGUAGAGGACUUCCAAAGGGUGUACUGUUUUUUUUUUUUUUAAAUGUUAGAAAAUAAAUGUUUUAACAUUUUUUUUGUGUAUGUUAGAAUUGCUUUUUGAUAUGUUGUAUAUAGUUAUUUGCACUGUUGUAUAUAGUUAUAGGUAAUUUCACCAAUUCGGCCACUUGGGUACAUUUGGGCAACUUGUGUGGGACACCUGGGUGACUUCAUGCUAAAUGUCAUGUAGCUCACCCAUUCCUGAAGUUAUCAGUCUGAAACUUUGCACACCUACAAAUUAUCUCCAGCUAUUCUAGUACAUGUGAAAGA
Long non-coding RNA from Oncorhynchus tshawytscha (Chinook salmon), 7107 nucleotides. The record is from Ensembl. NCBI's taxonomy places the organism in Eukaryota, Metazoa, Chordata, Actinopteri, Salmoniformes, Salmonidae.